This 1255-nucleotide long non-coding RNA is filed under the name Calidris pugnax (ruff). RNAcentral's name for it is "lncRNA (ENSCPUG00000006570.1)". Lineage: Eukaryota; Metazoa; Chordata; Aves; Charadriiformes; Scolopacidae. The record is from RNAcentral.
GCUAUUUUUUCCACCCAGAGCAGAAAUGCAGAUGCGUUAUUCCUCAAGCUGUUUGUAGGCAGCAGCUCACUAAGACAUCAGGCCUGCAGCAUUUUUUAACUACAGAUAUAUUAAGAGGCUGGACACGGCAUAAGCAUUCCUGGCAGGUAGGAAAGAGGGGUUGGGACCUGAUAGUGAAAGGGCACAAGAAUUAGUAACUGCAAGAGAAGAGCUGCCCAACCCAAGCAUAUUCUGCAACCAACUCUUUAACAACUCUUUUUCUGCAGAAAAACAAAAAAACUAAACCUGCAUUCCAAAAUAACAUGAUUUUGAAAACAUGGGGAGAAAAGAUUAAAGAAGAGAGACACAGCCAAACCACCUCACAUCACAGAAGCCCCAUCCUCUGCACCUCUUAAAACCUCCUUGUUUUGGAAGGGCUUUUUUUUCUUAGGCGAAAGGGUAGGCAUGGGCCAGGACUAGUUGUGUCCUGAGCAAAGUGGCACCAUGAAGGAAAGAGAAUGUAAGGAGCAGCCUGAAGAACAACGAAAAGCAGUGAAGUUGAGGUUUUGGUGUUGUGGGGUUUUUUGUGUUUAAGUCAAGUUUUUAAGUGCUGCCUGUCAGAGAAAGCAGCCUUUCUCUGCUCGCCCCUUCGGGAUCCCUCGGCGCACCCUCACCUCACAACACCGCGCCGCCCCGGGGAUCCUGCGCCUCACAGACCCCCGCCGCCUCCGGACACCCGCCCAGCCGGAGACGGGGACCCCCCCAGCUCAAACUGAAGGCGGCUGGAAGGAAGGGAAUCAGCCUCAUUCAGCCGCCCCCGAUAAUGGCACGGAAAUUGUGCCCUACUCAAGUCAGGAUGCAAUACUUGCCUUAGUAAUUUUCUCCCUCUUCUCCUUUCUGCCGAUGUGAAUCUACAAUGUUUGGAGGAUGCAAGCCCUGAGUAUGAACAGUAGGCAACCUCUUGUUUGUGUGAUGAGAACCAUAAUUUUGAGGAACUUGGUAGGUUCUUGAAAAGAACAGAAUGGAAACAGAAUCUCAUUUCCUCUUUCUUUGGCAUCCAUUUUUGGUUACUUAUUAAUUCUAAGGGAAGAGUAACACUGGAGAAAAGCAUUCAACACUCAACACUGGCUUUUCUUCUGUAACUCUGAAGUAAGCGCAAUGGUUAAUUAAUGGCCAGAUCUGUGAAUGUGACUAUACGACUGACAUGCGUAGGAGUAAUGACAUGAGUUUGGAAAACUACUUUCAGAGACAAAUAAAGAGUAUUACAUACAUUGCA